ACCAUUGCACUCCAGCCUGGGCUACAGAGUGAGACUCUGUCUCAAAAAAAAAAAAAAGUUUAUUCAAGAAAAAACGGGGAGUGACCCAUUCAGGAGGAAGACUCCAGAGAAACAGGGUCAGUGCUCCAAAGGUCAAAGGGCCUCGAUUCUGUCCUCCUCGUCCUGCAUCUCCAGAGUGCCCAUCCACUCCUCAAAGAGGUCGCUUGAAAGUAGCUUCCGGGGGAUACUUCUGAGGAAGUCCUGGGGGAUGAGAGCGGGCUAUUGGCCUAUUGGUACUGUAUGAUGUCCCAUGUCCUCGUUUUUACCUGGUUUUCAUUCCAUCACAGGGUGCUCUAUGCUUAGCCCAUCAUAGAUUGUGCCCCUUCAUUCCUGCAUUUGAUUAAUCCAGGGAACCCUCUCUGCAACACCCUUGGCCUCUCUGCGACUUUCUAACAUCAAGCAGAGUCAGAGGCACCAUCCCCAGGUGGGUGUGUUCUGAGGGGCCACUGGAUUUUGGCAUGUGGAUUCUGCCAUGGAACAAUCAAAUUGCCUGUUGUUGGCAAAGUUUUGAGAGAGCAGAAUGCAUUGCUUUCUGUUGGAAUCUGAGGUCACAGAAACAGAGGUGCUUACCAAAUAAAUAAAUAAAUAAAGGGCUUAAUGAAAAAAAUAAAACUCCAAGAUCAGUGUACCUUGCUGUGUGGAGAGAAGAGCCUAUUUCUUGCAUCCUGAGAAUGAGUGUGCCAGGGCCCCUUGGCAGGUUUUUUGGCGCAAGCGUGUUGAACUCACCUUAAAGACCACAGCGAGGAGGUGCACGGGGAGGCUCUCCAGAUCCACCGCAUCCCCAGAGUUGAGCUCCUCCUUCAGCUCCUUGCGGGCUUUCUCGUUGGCUGCUCUCCUGAAUAUCCCUUCCGUUGAAGGGCCUUUAAGGCAUAGAAUAGUGAGAAUGUCCUAAAGGAAACAGCGAUAGGAACAGGAAAGGAUUACCAUUGGUUCAAAGAUACUGUGCUGCUACUAAUGCAUGAAGAUCUAUGCUUAGACUGCAGAAAGAAUUAAAAUAAGGUACAUGAACAGUUUCUAACUUUACUUGUCAUAAAAUACCAUCUCUCUAAAAGUUAGUUAUCUUCUCUAGUAUACUGAGAUAGUCUUAACAGGAAUAUUAAUGUCAGAUUUUGCUUUCAGUUCAGUCGCUAUCAAUGGCCUUCCUCAACCCCGCUAUUUUUCUAAGAGGAGGCAAAUUGUGAAAGCUCUAAUUUUGCACUUUCUAAAAUCAUUUUGGAGCUCUCUCAUUUCAAAUACUUCCAUAUGAACAUUGGAUUUUGGAUCACAAAGUCUAUAUUCUGUUUCCCCUUCAGACUUUUCAGAAGCUACAAAUCUUCGGCAUUCUUCACUCUGUGCAGUCAGAGAAAUGGAGGGACCAUAGCUCUGAGCUCAUUGGCAAAUACAACUAAUUUCAAUUUCUGGAAUGGAAGCAGUCAGAUAUUCUUCUAACUGCAUGCGUAUGUGGGAGUGCCAUGUCGAAGAGUGGAAAAUAUGGAAGAUCAGUCCCUACAAACUUCAUAGGAGAAUGACAUUCAGAUUUCCUGAGUAUUUUGCAUGUCCAACUGAAAACUGAAGUAGGUUUAUGAGAAAAUGCAUGCCUACCUGGAUGGGUCUGGGGAGUGUGUCGCUGCCACCACAGAUAAUUGACAAGGGCUGAUCAAAUAGUGAUGCUUUCAAGUCUGUCUCCAAAGCCCCAGAAAAAUCUGAUGCAGGGGAGAGCCUUCUCAUGAGAAAGGGCCAGGACAGCACCUUCUUUCUCUUCUUAACUUCUACAGCCAAGAAAACAAGGCAACGAGAAAAAUUAGACUACAGUGUUAAUACGCAAAGAUCCAGGUAAGAAAAUGGGUAUCGUUGGCCACAUAAUGUGGUCGAUAGUAUAUGCCAUGUGAGAAAAAUAAUUUUGAAAACUUAAGAAAGCAAAGGGCGUGAAUCUUAAUCUAGAAAAACCAACCGAUAAACAACCACACUGUUACCAGGGCAACCAGUUCCCUAAACAGCAACACCAGGGUUCCUCAGAGCCUCCACCUUUCCUGUUUUCACUCUUUCCAGCUGUUUGCUACAGAAAAUUAGCAAAACCUAACUGUGCAGAUCAUAAACAACCAUCUUAACCUACUGGCCUGAAUAACUAUAGAGGAAAUUUCUGAUAUGAAAUAGAUUAUUUUGAUUUCCUCCUUUAAUUGGCGAAGAAAACGAAACUUAAAAGGUGAGGAAGUGACUUGCUCAGUAUCUCUUCGAAGGCACAUAGCAGGGCCGGCUCCAACCCUUUGCAGCCUCGCAGGCACUACAUAGCCACUAGAGGGAGCUAACACCAUUCUUCCUUCCGGGUGACUGGUCACCUGGGUUUUCCAGGUCGCUGCUUUAGGACAGAGGCAAAUACGAAUCGCGGCAGGAAGGUCUGAACCUACAUCUGGCAACUGGAAAUUAUCAGCAAAACGUUAUCAAGAUAUUCUGUCCUUCCGAAAUCCACAAGAUGUGUGUGCAAUGGAUAUUGCAAUCUCAAAAGUUUCCUUCUUUCUUUUCUUUUCCUUCCUUCCUUCUCCUUUUUUUUAAAACUAAUUAUAAAGGCUAUAUUUUCUAAAUGCAUUGGCAUAUGUUUCUGUACAUUUUAGAUUGGCAAGUGGAAGCGUGAUGAGAAAGAAGUGGCCUGUAUGGUUCAGGAGAACUGGGUCAGGGUUGUGCUGUAAUGAAAUGCAUUAUGAAAAAAAUUGAGAGCGAAUGGUGGGUCCUUUGGGAUUUGAGAUCAGCAACAGUUGCUUCAUAGGCUCUUGGAUGCAUUCUCCAUAAGAGAAGGAAGAAAAUGGAAAAGACGCUGUGUGUUUUCAAAUGUGUGCAUGCUAAUUGUGGAAACAUACAUGGCCAGGAGACGGAACCGCAUUAAAAACCCUUGGCAGAACUGGGGGAUUCUCUGUGGAGAGGCUCUUUCCGCUCGCAGCACUCCCGGCUCUAGUGAGUUGGAGCACACCUGCCAUUUAAGGGUUAAUGUUCUGCGGUCUUUAACAGAACACUUAUACAAAAAAAUUCCUAGUAGAGUAAAAACGCUGUGGUUUUGCAAACCAAGAACGCUGGUUGUUAGCACUUACAUAAAAGAUCAGUAUGUUUUCAAAACUCACCAAUGAGCUGGCAAAUACUGUCUUCACUCUCACAUGAUGCCAACAGGGGAUGUUCCUUGAUGUCACCCUAAAAACAUUUUUAUUUCAGUUAAAUAUAGUGACUGAAGAAACCUAUCGAGUCUUUCCCCACAAAACACACAUACAACAUUUUAUUCAUAUUAAAAAUGAAGUCAGUAGAGUGCAUUGAUGUUUUUUUCUAGCUUCUAGAGGCAAUAUUAAAGUCUCGAUUGUCAUCAUAUAAGAUCCUAAUUAAUGUGUUUAAUUUACUACAUGUGUGAUGUUAAUUUACUACUCUGAUAAUUAAUAUUCAACCCAAAUAAUAUUCAAUAAAACAAAGUUUUCCACCUUCUCACAGUACAGAUAAAAAGUUUCAAAAAUUGCUUUCUUACCUCUGAUUGACAUUCGAUUAGCGUCUCCAUAUUACUGGCAUUUAGUGUUUUUGACUAAAAGAGAAAAAAUAAAAUUAGGUAAAUAUCUUUUGGCCCUUGCCUCUAGGAAACACGAAUUAAUAAAUGUGAGAGUGUCACUCACAGCAUUGUGGCUGCUUCUCAGCUUCAUCAGUAUUGGGACUGACUGUCCGGGAGUGAAUUUCACUCCUGUGCGGCUGUGGCUCUGUCUACAACGAAUCAUAUGGAAAGGAGUUAGGAGGAACACACAGUAGGUUGGCCACUUUCAGCACCACUUUGCCAAAGCACAGAGUUUGAAACUAUUUAUUUAUUUAUUUAUUUUUCUAUUUUACUACUUUUUCAAUUGCCUUUACUUUGGAAAAAAAACUAUUACAUAGACAAGUUUUCAUUUAAAGUCAGUUCUGUGUUACCAGAUGUCAUAUGUUGUUAAGAACAGCAUCUGAACACAAUUAUUUCUAAAUUAUUUAAGCCAACUAUCUUUACCAUUCUAAACGUUGUCACCAAUUUAUUCCAUUCCCAUCAAGAGAUAAUUUGGAUAUCAAUUACAUUAACAUUUUAAAUUAACAUUAACAUUAACUUUUUGGGGGGAGUCCUCACUAUAUGCCAGGUAUCGUAGUAGGUGCUUUGCAUGGAUUUUCUCAUCUAAUCCAAAAAGGAAAAAAAAAAUGUAUCUCCAGGAUGCUGCAAUAGUAAACAUGAAACAAAGACAACAUUUAUAGAAUCCCUACACCAAAAAGGUGCAGCCUUCACGUUGAAGCAAAGCUUUCUUUGUCCUGAGACUUUAUAAAGUGAGUGUAUAUUCCACGGGCUAGCUGUUUUCUGUUGCCUGUGAUCUGAGUGACCUGUGACUGGGAAGGCAGCCUGCAAUUUCUAGGCGUGUUAAUAUAUAGUACUUACCCUCGGAGGGUCUCUAGCCAGAGUUCUUUUACAUCCGGUGAGCUGUAAAUAAUGGGAGAAAGAGCAUGACACUCUGCUGCUUCUAGUCCACUGGGAGAGAGGGAGACUGAGCCGGUCUCCCUUCACAUGCUCUGCAUUAUAAGCGAGGGGGCGGGCAGGUGGAAAUUCAGAAUAUUACAGAGACCGGAAAGAACAUCAUGGGCUGUCACACAGACGAAGCCAGCCAGACACUGGAGAGCUCUCACUUCCUCAUUCCUUUUAGGGCAGCUCUGUCUUUUUUUUUUCUCCUCCACUUCAAAGUAAAAAAUCUGUAAACUACUAGGAGUGGAAAAGAUGACAUUCAGCCCAUAGGUGAAGGCUCUGAUUAAUGUCAUAGGUGGGAUGUGUGAACAAGAAAUUGUGUUAUUCUGUGCAUAAACAUCACUUUAUUUUCUAAAGUGGUAAUUUCAAGUGCCUUUUUUUGCGUCCUGUUUGGGUGCUGUUCCCCCUCCCACGUGCCAUCCGCUCUGUCCACCAGCACCACACGUUGAUUAGCAUCCCUGGAUGUGGGACACCGUUACAGAACCAGAAAGAAACCCAAGACAGUCCCUUCCUUGAGGAACAAUCACCAUCCAAAGCCACAUUAGUUUCCUUUGGAAGUAGAAAGAAAACUCCCUCGAGUCAGUUGUCAAUACAGUAACCCCCUUCUCCUUUCUGUAACUCCUGGUCAAAAGUAUUGAUACUUAAUUUACAGUCAGAGCAGAUGUCGUUCUGACAUGGAAGGAAAACAAAAAUUCCUUUGAUCAGACCAAUUUAAAAUAGGAAAGAGAUGGUGAAUUUCAUUUGUGGAUCACUCUUUCUCAUAAGAGAAUUUCUGAUCUUUUCUAUAGAUCAAGGGCAAUAUAUGAAACCACUCAAAUGCCUCAGCAUGAGAAUGGAUGCAUAAGUUGUGAUCCAUUCACAUAGAGAAUGAAUGUUAUAUAGCACUGACAAUGAACAGCCUAUGACUAUAGCCAACAAUAUGGUUGGAUCUCACAAUAUGACGUUGAGCCAAGGAAGCCAGACUUGAAUUAAUUAAUGCAAAGCACAAAACUAGCAAAAGUCGUCUGUGCUGUUGGAAGCAAGAGUAGCAGUUUCUCAGAGGGGCUGGUAGUGACUUCCAGGGGCCAGCGGGGGUUUGGUGAUUGUCCAUUCUUGAUCUGGGUGGUGCUAGGCUUAUGUGCACACUUUCCUAUUUAUGUUAGUUUUCAAUAAAAAGUUUUAAAAUAA
Non-coding RNA from Macaca mulatta (Rhesus monkey), 5680 nucleotides. NCBI's taxonomy places the organism in Eukaryota, Metazoa, Chordata, Mammalia, Primates, Cercopithecidae. The record is from RefSeq and is a predicted model, not a curated record.